Triticum aestivum (bread wheat) is the source of this 1060-nucleotide long non-coding RNA. RefSeq lists it as uncharacterized. NCBI's taxonomy places the organism in Eukaryota, Viridiplantae, Streptophyta, Magnoliopsida, Poales, Poaceae. The record is from RefSeq and is a predicted model, not a curated record. The transcript has 3 exons.
UCGAGGUUCACGCCGAACAGCCUGAGCCGGCGUGUCGGUGCCGAGGCUGGGCUGCAGCUCCUGGUGUCUGCGUCCCACUGGGAUUCUCCUGCGAUUGUUCAUUCACCAGAAAUGGCGUUAGAGCGUUCAUGGUGAUGGUGCUUCAAGUUCCCAAACGCCGGGAUGAGAACUGGACCUGCACAGAGAUCGUGCACCCUUCUCCAGUUUCCAACGGAUUGUGAAUCAGGUUUGGUUUCUCCAUGCACAUGAAUGAGUUGGUAUCCCAUGGAAUUGAAUACAAGAUAACUCAAGAUAAGGGGACACAUGCUAAUGCUCCUAGUUUAGUUAUCCCUGUGGUCUCAGCUCCUUUCCAAGAAGCGAUGCAUGUUUUGCCAAGCUCAUGCAGAUGUGGGAGUAGGCGCCUUGAGUGCGGCAUGUUACUCCCCCCUAUUCACAAAUAUAUACAUGCCACCAUGGGAAGUGUGCAAUUAAGCAUUGCCAAUCUUGGACCUUUUAAUAUUGCAAAACCAAAGGGUAUCCAGAUGCCUUCAUUUGAAAUGAUAAUUGCCCCUUAUGGGGUUAACGUUCGGAUGGAAAAUAUAUUCAUAAAAAGAAACCCAGCAUCCUAGCUGUUUGCUGACAUAUCAUUACCUCUUGGAGACUGAGGCUAUGUUAAAAGGCUAAAAUGUCAUGUCAACCUAAUAUGUAGAGCAUUAUGAUUGCAUUAGCUUAAGAGCCAUGAACCUAUGGUUUCUUGCAUCUAACACUCUGUGGUGAUGGGCUGGCGAGCAUCUACAGUGUGCUUCUGUUUUAUCUAGCACUGCCGCCUAUUUAUAUCCUUGUUUUAAGCAGCCGCCUGUUUACAUUGAAAACUCAUUUCAAGAUUCCACUGCAUGGUUCCCAUGGUUUGGACUUUGGAGUGAUAAAACCCUCCAAAAUUAGUUGAGCUCGUUUUGUCAUGGAUACUUUUGUGUUUUAUAGAGAGAAUCACGAAUCACAAUUGUUUACCCUUGUUCAAUUCAUUUUAUUAUAAGAUGUGAGCAUUCGUGUAUUGGGACCAUGGUGCGCACAGCUGCUUCUA